Molecule: ribosomal RNA, 470 nt
Filed under: uncultured bacterium
Lineage: Bacteria
Description: bacterial SSU rRNA
Rfam family: Bacterial small subunit ribosomal RNA
Source: RNAcentral
GAUGAACGCUGGCGGCGUGCUUAACACAUGCAAGUCGAACGAAGCACUUUAUUUGAUUUCCUUCGGGACUGAUUAUUUUGUGACUGAGUGGCGGACGGGUGAGUAACGCGUGGGUAACCUGCCUUGUACAGGGGGAUAACAGUUGGAAACGGCUGCUAAUACCGCAUAAGCGCACGGCAUCGCAUGAUGCAGUGUGAAAAACUCCGGUGGUAUAAGAUGGACCCGCGUUGGAUUAGCUAGUUGGUGAGGUAACGGCCCACCAAGGCGACGAUCCAUAGCCGACCUGAGAGGGUGACCGGCCACAUUGGGACUGAGACACGGCCCAAACUCCUACGGGAGGCAGCAGUGGGGAAUAUUGCACAAUGGGCGAAAGCCUGAUGCAGCGACGCCGCGUGAGCGAAGAAGUAUUUCGGUACGUAAAGCUCUAUCAGCAGGGAAGAUAAUGACGGUACCUGACUAAGAAGCACCGG